GAGUUUGAUCCUGGCUCAGGAUAAGUCGUAACAAGGUAACCAGUGAGUUUGAUCCUGGCUCAGGAUUAACGCUAGCGGCAGGCCUAACACAUGCAAGUCGAACGGUAACAGGGGUAGCAAUACCUGCUGACGAGUGGCGCACGGGUGAGUAACGCGUAUGCAACCUGCCCUGUACUGGGGGAUAGCUCGGAGAAAUCCGGAUUAAUACCCCAUAAUAUCAGUAACUGGCAUCUGUUACUGAUUAAAGCCCUGGCGGUACAGGAUGGGCAUGCGUGCCAUUAGUUUGUUGGUGAGGUAACGGCUCACCAGGACGGUGAUGGCUAGGGGGUCUGAGAGGAUGAUCCCCCACACUGGUACUGAGACACGGACCAGACUCCUACGGGAGGCAGCAGUGAGGAAUAUUGGUCAAUGGACGCAAGUCUGAACCAGCCAUGCCGCGUGCAGGAUGACGGCCCUAUGGGUUGUAAACUGCUUUUGUAUGGAAAGAACUCCCCGGUCUUGACCGGGGCUGACGGUACUGUACGAAUAAGCAUCGGCUAACUCCGUGCCAGCAGCCGCGGUAAUACGGAGGAUGCGAGCGUUAUCCGGAUUUAUUGGGUUUAAAGGGUGCGUAGGCGGGGUAGCAAGUCAGUGGUGAAAGUCUGCAGCUUAACUGUAGAAUUGCCGUUGAUACUGUUACUCUUGAAUUCAGUUGAGGCAGGCGGAAUGUGUAAUGUAGCGGUGAAAUGCAUAGAUAUUACACAGAACACCG
This 751-nucleotide ribosomal RNA is filed under the name uncultured bacterium. RNAcentral's name for it is "bacterial SSU rRNA". It matches the Rfam family "Bacterial small subunit ribosomal RNA", at positions 1 to 711 of the family's 1533-position model. The record is from RNAcentral.